This 205-nucleotide microRNA precursor is filed under the name Oryza rufipogon (brownbeard rice). RNAcentral describes it as "MIR812 microRNA precursor family". It matches the Rfam family "MIR812 microRNA precursor family". Lineage: Eukaryota; Viridiplantae; Streptophyta; Magnoliopsida; Poales; Poaceae. The record is from Rfam by way of RNAcentral.
AAAAUGACAAACCCUGGUUUCCGUGUCCAACGUUCGACCGUCCGCCUUAUUUAAAAAAAUUAUAAAAAAAAAUUAAAAGACAAGUCACGCAUAAAAUAUUAAUCAUGUUUUAUCAUCUAACAACAAUGGAAAUACGAAUUAUAAAAAAAUUUCAUAUAAGACGAACAGUCAAAGUUGGACACGGAAACCCAGGGUUUGCCUUUUU